Molecule: long non-coding RNA, 1951 nt
Organism: Musa acuminata subsp. malaccensis (wild Malaysian banana)
Lineage: Eukaryota; Viridiplantae; Streptophyta; Magnoliopsida; Zingiberales; Musaceae
Source: RefSeq, a predicted model, not a curated record
CUCUCUCUCUCUCCGCCCGGCGAAAACGAUUUCACGGCGAGGGGCGACGGAACAUAGGGGGAGGCGAGGACCCAGUUACUCCGCCGCACGCACACGGUGGCGCGGUCGGUCUGCCCACCUCUCUUCGCCGCCGACCAAGAUGAAUCGGAUCUUUAGUAACCCUUAUGCAAGAAUUGAGCGUUGGAUCCGUUUCUCGUCCCAUUCUUGAUGAAAGAUCUCGAGGAUAUAUGGCGGUCCACGAGGGAGAGGGGUUCUUUUGCUGUUGAAAUGAAUGCUGGGCUUCAAGAUCCGGCAUUUAUGGGAACGGGGAUAAGAAUUGGAUGUUGCAGAUGUGUUCUCUGUAAAUUAUGGCACCUAUUUCCUGACGUAUGGGAAAGGAUAUGAACGUAAUCCAUAACUCUUGGGAGGAGGGACGAGUUUGCCGUUUCGUUUUCCCUCUUCGUUUCGCUACUCUCAAUGUGACGUUGCUUUGUGGAUGACUAGUGGUAUAAGGUAUGCCACGAUAGCAAUUCUUGGGUCGCACACAGAUUCGUUUAUUAGUUUUCAGUUCUUGAAUAUUUCUUUUAAAUUUUAUAAUAUUAACUUCUGGAGAUGAAAUCUUUAAGUAAUGUGUUUGACUCGUUACUGUUAGCAUUCUUGAACCACAAACCUAAAGGAUCAAUUCGUCCAAUCCAUAGAAGAUGACACCGACGGGAGUGUACAUGUUGCAUCUUGGAGUCCUACUUUUGACCCACAGAUCAAAGUUGUGAAUUAUGUAAGUUUUAUUGACAAUUAAUUUAUGGAGUUAACUUGUACCCUUUGCAUAUUUUCCUAAUAUGAAGGACCAAAAAUAUAGAAACUGUUGUUAAAUUUUAAUAAAUGUUCAAUUCCAUACUCAAAUUUAAUUGUAAUUUUUUGAGCUUAGUAUUUACAAAGACAUUUUGUAUUUAUUUAAUUUUUUUGCUACUAUUGUCUACGGUCCAAUAUCAAAUAUUUGCAUUGACUAGCUCAAUUAAUAGUUAAAACUUCAAGAAGAAGUAAAAUAUGUUGAAAAAUCUAUGGCCCAAUACAAAGUUGCUUAGGUCUAAUACAUUGCAACUAAAAAGUGCACAAUAAUUUCUGAAUCUAAAGCAGUAUGUCAGCAAGAUCGGUCCAGUUUGGAUGUUUUGAUGCACUGGUCUGGGUCUAGGUUAAGGUUAAGGUAUUAUAACCUACCAGUGGUUUUUGUUGGGUUCACUUCAGCCCUACGAAACUUAACCUGACAUCGAGGCAUCAACCCAAGUUUGCCACUUCUAUGUUUGUUUGGCAUUAUCAAAUUCUGAUGUAUUUAGGUUAUGUUUCAAAAGUUUUGUCUUAGCCAUGUUAGAGUAACAAAAACCACAGCUGAGAUAUCGAGCGAGCAGAAAACUAGUUAAGUUUUAGCAAAUUGUUCCCUUUAACAAUAGUGGUAUAUAAAAGUACUCAGCAAAGCCUAGCGUAAGGUAAAUUGUUGAACUUUGAGUUUCAUAACCCUUAGAAAACAAUUAUAUAGGGUGAACAGGUGAAAUCAUAAUUAAUUCGUGGAACUUCAUCAAGAGCCUUGCUUUCUAGUUCAUGUCUUAAAUCUUUCUAUAUGCUGAUAGAAAAUGUUAUACAGUGGUGACUUUGGCUGAAUUGUUGUGUUAGGAGUUCUGUACAUUGUGUAUUAUUAGUGUGGAUGGAUUCAGAUGUCCAGAUUCUCAGAUAGUCAGACCAACUGUGAUCUGGAACAAAAUUUGAUACAAAUAGCAAGCUGGCACAGAAAUCAGUAAAUAAUAUAUUUGUUUCUCAUCAGGAGUUUUAUUGUAUAAUAAGGUAAAUCAUUUUUGCUUAGUUCUGUGAUACUUUAUUUUUUGAUGUUUUGUAGUUCUAUUUCUUUGAUGAACACUUUGACAUGGGGUUGCAUAAAAUACAAGCAAGUGAAUAAUGAUUUUGCCACAGUUAUUUGGAUUUA